AGAGUUUGAUCCUGGCUCAGGAUGAACGCUGGCGGUAUGCCUAACACAUGCAAGUCGUACGAGAGUUUUUAACUCUAGUGGCGGACGGGUGAGUAACACGUGAGAAUUUGCCUUUAGGAGGGGGAUAACAAUUGGAAACGAAUGCUAAUACCCCAUAUGCUUUUGAGUGAAAUGGAUUUUAUCCGCCUAGAGAGAAGCUCGCGGCUGAUUAGCUUGUUGGUAAGGUAAGAGCUUACCAAGGCGACGAUCAGUAUCUGGUUUGAGAGGACGAUCAGACACACUGGAACUGAGACACGGUCCAGACUCCUACGGGAGGCAGCAGUGGGGAAUUUUCCGCAAUGGGCGAAAGCCUGACGGAGCAAUACCGCGUGAGGGAAGAAUGCCUAUGGGUUGUAAACCUCUUUUUUCAGGGAGGAAUAAAAUGACGUGUACCUGAAGAAUAAGCAUCGGCUAACUCCGUGCCAGCAGCCGCGGUAAGACGGAGGAUGCAAGUGUUAUCCGGAAUCACUGGGCGUAAAGCGUCUGUAGGUGGUUUAAUAAGUCAACUGUUAAAUCUUGAUGGCUCAACUUCAAAAUCGCAGUCGAAACUAUUAGACUAGAGUAUAGUAGAGGUAAAGGGAAUUUCCAGUGUAGCGGUGAAAUGCGUAGA
Molecule: ribosomal RNA, 649 nt
Filed under: uncultured bacterium
Lineage: Bacteria
Description: bacterial SSU rRNA
Rfam family: Bacterial small subunit ribosomal RNA
Source: RNAcentral